UGCAAGACCCCUAUUAAAAGUCUCACUUCCGCUGUUCUUCGUGCCUCUAAGCCCAUUCUUUGGGUUUGGAAAGCCUCCUGCAGCCAGAGCAGCCAUUUGAAAAUGCAAAUCUAUUCACACCUGUGUUACAUGACGGAGACUGCUUCAGCCAUUGAGCCAUGUCUGCCUGUAUCCUUCAGCUAGAAAACCCCAGAAAAAAGGCACCAAGUGGAAAUAAGGAGCAAGGAAGGGGACAGCUGUGAACACUGGCCUCCUUAGUCAACCACGGGUGUCAGAGAACUUAAUGGAUGGAGCAGAUUUCAAGGAAAGAAAUCAGGCAGAAUCAAAGGUGGGUGACUUCAGAGAAACCAUAGGAGCCUAGCAGUAGCAGUUGGAUGCGCU
RNAcentral lists this long non-coding RNA (381 nucleotides) under Homo sapiens (human). RNAcentral describes it as "HSALNT0390843". The record is from RNAcentral. Lineage: Eukaryota; Metazoa; Chordata; Mammalia; Primates; Hominidae.